GUUUUUCUAUUGGUCCACGGCACUCAGCUUCCGUUUUGAACCCAAACUGUACUACUUGGUGGUGAUUGUAACAGCAGAGGUGUGUUUUUGCUUUUCAUCCCUUAGUUUUUAGAUUAGUGCAGUUUGAUUUGACAGUUGGGCUUUACGUUUUUUGAAGUUAAUUCACGUGAUAAAUACAAUAAGCAAUAGCAAAUCAUUAUUAGACCUAUACGAACAUUAUGGAUAAAUAUUUGCUACUUGGUUGGUGAACUUGGUGAAUUUUGCAGAUCUAAUCAAAGAUGGCAAGACAGGGAGUAUCAAGACCAAAGGUGAUCUCAUCAGGCAGGCUGACAGGCUCUGGACGUGGACAGAUACACAAGAAAAGGGUUGCUGGGAGAUGUGUUCCUCCUCUUGAACCAGCAUAUUCUCUUUAUUCUACAGACUCUGAAGAUCAGGUGACAACAAUACACAAGGGACUCGACCGAUGUGCUGCUUUACUCAAUGGGAUACUUCAAGCUGAACAAGCAGCCCAAACCACAGGGAACAAAAACCUGCACCUUCAAAUCCAAACCCAAGAAUUUAUUAAGAAAAAUUGAAACUGACAAGAAAAGGCAUGGGAAGAAGACAAACACAGCUAUACAUGCAAACAAAAGGCCAGGUAAUGUCCUCAAAUAUAUUGUACCUUUUUCAUAUUAUCAAAACAAGUUCUGCAAGAAUUU
This 698-nucleotide long non-coding RNA is filed under the name Sinocyclocheilus rhinocerous. RNAcentral's name for it is "lncRNA (ENSSRHG00000002126.1)". Lineage: Eukaryota; Metazoa; Chordata; Actinopteri; Cypriniformes; Cyprinidae. The record is from RNAcentral.